Molecule: transfer RNA, 66 nt
Filed under: Erinaceus europaeus (western European hedgehog)
Lineage: Eukaryota; Metazoa; Chordata; Mammalia; Eulipotyphla; Erinaceidae
Description: tRNA (ENSEEUG00000023917.1)
Rfam family: tRNA
About the family: Transfer RNA (tRNA) molecules are approximately 80 nucleotides in length. Their secondary structure includes four short double-helical elements and three loops (D, anti-codon, and T loops).
Source: Rfam by way of RNAcentral
GUUAACGUAGCUUAAAAUUAAAGCAAAGCACUGAAAAUGCUUAGAAGGGCCUAUACCCCGUAAACA